Rattus norvegicus (Norway rat) is the source of this 833-nucleotide non-coding RNA. Lineage: Eukaryota; Metazoa; Chordata; Mammalia; Rodentia; Muridae. The record is from RefSeq and is a predicted model, not a curated record.
GGCAUCCUCUACCGCUUCUCUGAAGCCAGCACAAUAAGUAAAGGGGACCAGUGAGAUGAUUCAGUGGGUGGCAUUCUCCUCGCACUCCUGAUGCCCUGAGUUUAAUCCUCAGAACCUCCUGGAGGCAGAGAAUAGAACCAAUUACACAGACACGUUUUUUUUGACUUCCACACAUGUACCAGAGCAGGUGUGCACCCCUCCACAACGCAACAGUGUUUCCAAAAAGAAUCAAACACAAAUAAGAUGGCUUUUAACUUUAAGAGAAGAAAUGCAAGCUGUGAAGUAGAAUUGCAGAAGUCAGAGGCUACAUCAUGAGACAAAGAAACAAGCAAGAUUCACCAUGAAGAAACUCCUGAAUGAAGAGAGUCUGGGAGCCGCCAGAAGUAAGAAGAAACAGUCAACUCUGAAGCCCUCUGCGCCAGGGGAAGCUUUAAAUAGCUCCCACUCAAGUGCCCCACGCAUGUGCAUGCUAGGCUGGAGCCAAUCAGAUUGCUUGGGGUCCUAAUGCAAGCCAGCUCUCAAGGACCCUGCCCAGGAUGAUGCUGGUUCUGGUUAGCGCCGGUUCCCAUAGCACAUGACGCAUCAAGUUCUUCCUUCUGGCAGUUUGUGUCUAUGCCAUGUCGAAUGAUGUCAUGUGGUGGAAAAGCUGACCGUCUUGUCUUGCUUUUGCCUCCCCUCCCCUCCCUGCCCCAGAGCCGGUUCCCAAAGGCCCCCCACAUGGGCUGGGGUGGGAACGAACGCCAGCUGUCUUGAAUCAAUUGGGGCUCUGCUCUGUCUCAGCCAACACCAAAUCAUUCCCAAAUCUACAUCAGAACAAGGUUUCAGCUGUGAAA